CUACGGGUUGCUGCAGUGAGGAAUAUUGCACAAUGGGGGGAACCCUGAUGCAGCAACGCCGCGUGGAGGAUGACGCAUUUCGGUGUGUAAACUCCUUUUAUAUGUCAAGAAAAUGACGGUAGCAUAUGAAUAAGCACCGGCUAACUCCGUGCCAGCAGCCGCGGUAAUACGGGGGGUGCAAGCGUUACUCGGAAUCACUGGGCGUAAAGGACGCGUAGGCGGGUUGGUAAGUCAGGUGUGAAAUCCUACAGCUUAACUGUAGAACUGCACUUGAAACUUCUAAUCUAGAGUAUGGGAGGGGGCGAUGAAAUUAGUGGUGUAGGGGUAAGAACCGUAGAUAUCACUAGGAAUACCUAAAGCGAAGGCGAUCUCCUGGAACAUUACUGACGCUAAGGCGUGAAAGCGUGGGGAGCAAACAGGAUUAGAUACCCGAGUAGUC
This 439-nucleotide ribosomal RNA is filed under the name uncultured bacterium. RNAcentral describes it as "partial 16S ribosomal RNA". It matches the Rfam family "Bacterial small subunit ribosomal RNA", at positions 339 to 795 of the family's 1533-position model. The record is from RNAcentral.